Molecule: signal recognition particle RNA, 291 nt
Filed under: Pongo abelii (Sumatran orangutan)
Lineage: Eukaryota; Metazoa; Chordata; Mammalia; Primates; Hominidae
Rfam family: Metazoan signal recognition particle RNA
About the family: The signal recognition particle (SRP) is a universally conserved ribonucleoprotein.
Source: RNAcentral
GCUGGGCAUGGUGGCACGUGCCUGUAGUGCCAGCUACUCAGGAGGCUAAGGCAGGAGGAUCAUUUGAGUCCAAGAGUUCUGGGUUGUAAUGCACUGUGUCUAUCAGGUGUUUGCACUAAGUUCAGCAUCAAUAUAGUGACCUCCCAGGAGUGGGGGACCACCAGGCUGCCUAUGAACCAGCCCAGGUUGGAAAUGGAGCAGGUCAAAACUCCCACGCUGAUCAGUAUUGGGACUGUACCUGUGAAUAGCCACUGCGCUCCAGCCUGGGCAACACAGUGAGACCCUGUCUCU